UACGAAGGGUGCAAGCGUUACUCGGAAUUACUGGGCGUAAAGCGUGCGUAGGUGGUUUGUUAAGUCUGUUGUGAAAGCCCCGGGCUCAACCUGGGAAUGGCAAUGGAUACUGGCAGGCUAGAGUGCGGUAGAGGGUAGUGGAAUUCCCGGUGUAGCGGUGAAAUGCGUAGAGAUCGGGAGGAACACCAGUGGCGAAGGCGGCUAUCUGGCCCAAUACUGACACUGAGGUGCGAAAGCGUGGGGAUCAAACAGG
Molecule: ribosomal RNA, 253 nt
Filed under: uncultured bacterium
Lineage: Bacteria
Description: partial 16S ribosomal RNA
Rfam family: Bacterial small subunit ribosomal RNA
Source: RNAcentral